CCUUUUGUAUAAUGGGUCAGCGACUUAUAUUCUGUAGCAAGGUUAACCGAAUAGGGGAGCCGAAGGGAAACCGAGUCUUAACUGGGCGUUAAGUUGCAGGGUAUAGACCCGAAACCCGGUGAUCUAGCCAUGGGCAGGUUGAAGGUUGGGUAACACUAACUGGAGGACCGAACCGACUAAUGUUGAAAAAUUAGCGGAUGACUUGUGGCUGGGGGUGAAAGGCCAAUCAAACCGGGAGAUAGCUGGUUCUCCCCGAAAGCUAUUUAGGUAGCGCCUCGUGAAUUCAUCUCCGGGGGUAGAGCACUGUUUCGGCAAGGGGGUCAUCCCGACUUACCAACCCGAUGCAAACUGCGAAUACCGGAGAAUGUUAUCACGGGAGACACACGGCGGGUGCUAACGUCCGUCGUGAAGAGGGAAACAACCCAGACCGCCAGCUAAGGUCCCAAAGUCAUGGUUAAGUGGGAAACGAUGUGGGAAGGCCCAGACAGCCAGGAUGUUGGCUUAGAAGCAGCCAUCAUUUAAAGAAAGCGUAAUAGCUCACUGGUCGAGUCGGCCUGCGCGGAAGAUGUAACGGGGCUAAACCAUGCACCGAAGCUGCGGCAGCGACGCUGAUGCGUUGUUGGGUAGGGGAGCGUUCUGUAAGCCUGCGAAGGUGUGCUGUGAGGCAUGCUGGAGGUAUCAGAAGUGCGAAUGCUGACAUAAGUAACGAUAAAGCGGGUGAAAAGCCCGCUCGCCGGAAGACCAAGGGUUCCUGUCCAACGUUAA
RNAcentral lists this ribosomal RNA (765 nucleotides) under Escherichia coli. Its description in RNAcentral is "partial 23S ribosomal RNA". It matches the Rfam family "Bacterial large subunit ribosomal RNA", at positions 604 to 1368 of the family's 2925-position model. The record is from RNAcentral. Lineage: Bacteria; Pseudomonadati; Pseudomonadota; Gammaproteobacteria; Enterobacterales; Enterobacteriaceae.